Molecule: signal recognition particle RNA, 271 nt
Filed under: Myotis lucifugus (little brown bat)
Lineage: Eukaryota; Metazoa; Chordata; Mammalia; Chiroptera; Vespertilionidae
Description: Metazoan signal recognition particle RNA
Rfam family: Metazoan signal recognition particle RNA
About the family: The signal recognition particle (SRP) is a universally conserved ribonucleoprotein. It is involved in the co-translational targeting of proteins to membranes.
Source: Rfam by way of RNAcentral
GCUGGGCACGAUGGUGCGAACCUGUAGUCCCAGCUACUCGGGAGGCUGAGGCUGGAGGAUCGCUUGAGCCCAGGAGUUCUGGGCUGUAGUGCGCUAUGCCGAUCGGGUGUCUGCACUAAGUUCGUCAUCAAGAUGGUGACCUCCUGGGAGCGGGGGACCACCAGGUUGCCUAAGAAGGGUAGUGGGUAGAUGGACAGGGGGCUUCUCAGAGAAGCCAGGAUCUGGUUGCAGGGCAUGUUUCUCUGGCCAGCGUAGGGGUCCCUGGUCUCCG